CCCCUCUCAGGAUCAUACCUGGGGAAUUUCCAGUACUCUACCAGUCUCGGCUAUGGAAGGGAGAGUCAAGCAGAGGCAUGCCCAUUCCAUUCCUAGCUUGGGCAGUGGCUAGCGAGUGGAAGGCAAUCUGCUACAAGU
This 138-nucleotide small nucleolar RNA is filed under the name Ornithorhynchus anatinus (platypus). Lineage: Eukaryota; Metazoa; Chordata; Mammalia; Monotremata; Ornithorhynchidae. The record is from RNAcentral.